This is a long non-coding RNA of Gadus macrocephalus (Pacific cod), 3264 nucleotides long. RefSeq lists it as uncharacterized. Lineage: Eukaryota; Metazoa; Chordata; Actinopteri; Gadiformes; Gadidae. The transcript has 3 exons. The record is from RefSeq and is a predicted model, not a curated record.
UGCAGCCCGCUGGCUGGGUGCUCUCCACAGGACCCCCCCGGCCCCCCCGGCCCCCUGCUGUUCCCAUGAUGCCUCAGUGACUCCUACUAUAUGAUACUAAUCAUACUCUGCUUUUAUAACACAAGGUCUGCUCUGUUUUCAACUACUAAUGUCUUGAGGCAACACCUUUUUUCUACACUACAAUGUUUAAACCCUUCCCGUUUCUCUUCUUGGUUCUGCCAAUAGUCACUUUGUGUGUGUUUGUGCGUGCGUGCGUGUGUGCGUGCACGUGUGUCUGUGUGUGAGUGAGUGAAAAAGCGGAAGGCUUGGAUUGCUGACACUACACAGAUAAAAGCCCACAGGAUGUGCACACAAACAAAACGCACAAAAGGCUUUUAAUUUGAAAGAUUUGUAUCCACUCGUUCCUCCGCCUCCUGUAGACGUGGACACGGCAGUCUGUCUGUCUGACUUAACCAGACAAUGAACUACAUUCCAAAGAGAGUGUGUGUGUGUGUGUGUGUGUGUGUGUGUGUGUGUGUGUGUGUGUGUGUGUGUGUGUGUGUGUGUGUGUGUGUGUGUGUGUGUGUGUGUGUGUGUGUGUGUGUGUGUGUGUCAUUUACACAGAAUGUUUUCUCCGUGUUUGAGUAGCUAGCAGCACUCAAACCAAUAGCUUUAAUUUCAGCCUCAUUGCCAAGACACCCAAGUGACAUAAUGCUGUUUAGUUUGAGUCCUUAUUUGGGCCGCUGCACCUGCCGCGACCUCUGACCCCUCAGUGCACACUAACGAGUGGGCGUGUCUCCUCUGAGGAGGACCUCGUUAGCCACCAGGAGGAGGCCCCAGGGGCUCAGAAGAGCGUUGGUUUGAGAUGUUCAGGUUCGAUUCCCAUCGCAGACCGCGGUCUUCAGCUUUCUGUUUAACUGAGAUCUGAGUGUUUCACUACGAGCGUCUGAGUCAUGACUCUAACAACGUGUGUGUGUGUGUGUGUGUGUGUCUCUAACUAGCCUACAGAUCUUUUAUAUAAUCGCAGUUGAACCACCUCAAUGGGUUCCUCAGAAGAUGUUGAUUGUUGACACAUGUCCUACCAGUCAGCCUCUGGUGACCCCCCCGUAGACGCCACUGGUCGUACUGGUCCUCCAGGGUCGGGGGAGCUGGUACCUCCAGCGUCCUCCAGGCCACCGGCUGGCUGCUGGUCUGGGGGUCCCAGCCAGCGCACGCCUUUUAUUUAUUCAGGGUUUUGGAGAAGCUUGUUGCUCCAGGUGGUCCCUGAGGGCCCGGUCCUGUGGGCCCGGUCCAGGGGCCAGGGCCGGGUCCAGGUCCGGCUCCGUUUCCGGGGCCGGAUCCAGGUCCAGGUCCGGGUCCGGGUCCGGGUCCGGCUCCGGCUCCGUGUCCGGGUCCAGGGCCUGGUCCAGGGCCUGGUCCGGGGCCGGGUCCAGACUUCUCGUGUCUGUGGACGCAAGGCCGAGUGGAGCUGAGGAGGAAAGGCUGGGGGUCGUAGUGGAUCCUCCUUCCUGUGGUUGAAGUUGUAGUGUGGCGCUGUGACCUGAGGGGGCGCUGUCCCCUGAGACCAGGGGUCUCCUGUUGGACUCAGGGAGGGGGGGCCGGCUUAUAGUCCACUGACGGUGACUGUUAUCAUCCUGAUCGCUCAGCGUUCCUCUGGUGAGGUUCGUUGCUCCGAUUCAAUGUUCACGGAACGGCUCGCAGGCUAGGUGGCUCGCAGGCUAGGUGUAACGCAGGCUAGGUGGCUCGCAGGCUAGGUGGCUCGCAGGCUAGGUGGCUCGCAGGCUAGGUGUAACGCAGGCUAGGUGGCUCGCAGGCUAGGUGGCUCGCAGGCUAGGUGUAACGCAGGCUAGGUGUAACGCAGGCUAGGUCGCUAACAGGCUAACCCAGUUGGUGAUGUUCUGGGGCCGCUAGCUCGCAGCGCUAACAGGCUAACCCAGUUGGGGAUGUUCUGGGGCUGCUAGCUUGCAGCGUUAACAGGCUAACCCAGCAGGGGGUGUUGUGGGGGCGCUAGCUCCCAGCGCUACCACGCUAGGCGGCUAACAGGCUAACCCAGUAGGGGGUGUUGUGGGGCCGCUAGCUCCCAGCGCUACCUGGCUAGGCGGCUAACAGGCUAACCCAGCAGGGGGUGUUGUGGGGGAGCUAGCUCCCAGCGCUACCAGGCUAGGAGGCUAACAGGCUAACCCAGCAGGGGGUGUUGUGGGGGAGCUAGCUCUCAGCGCUACCAGGCUAGGCAGCUAACAGGCUUACCCAGUAGGGGGUGUUGUGGGGGAGCUAGCUCUCAGCGCUACCAGGCUAGGAGGCUAACAGGCUAACCCAGCAGGGGGUGUUGUGGGGGAGCUAGCUCUCAGCGCUACCAGGCUAGGCAGCUAACAGGCUUACCCAGUAGGGGGUGUUGUGGGGGAGCUAGCUCUCAGCGCUACCAGGCUAGGAGGCUAACAGGCUAACCCAGCAGGGGGUGUUGUGGGGGAGCUAGCUCUCAGCGCUACCAGGCUAGGCAGCUAACAGGCUUACCCAGCAGGGGGUGUUGUGGGGCUGCUAGCUCUCAGCGCUACCGGGCUACAUGCUACCCACCUGGAGACUGGAGGGUUGUAGAGUUCGUUGAGUUCAUUAAAACAAUGCUGGUUAAAUCGUGUGUUUCCCCCCUAGUCACUAUAGAGAUGCUAUCUGUACAUUUGGAGUUAUUUCCAAUUUCAAAACACUCAAAGUGGUUUAUGACUCAUUAAAAAAAGGACAGAAAAAGUCAACGUGCGGGAGGAGAGGGUCACAGCGAUGUGAAGGUCUGUCAGUUUCAUGUUUUACCUGUCGCAUCUUUUUGGACUGGAUAUGAUAAUUAAGAUGUAAGAAUAUUGUAGUAUCAUAUCAAGUGAAUCAUUCUUUGCUAGGCAUAGAGACUGCUUGUGAUUGACAGCUAUGUAUACCUUGUAAAAUAGUAAAGAAAAAAAGGAAAAAAACUAAAAUAGAAUUUGUAAAAAUAAAAAAUCAAGAAAAAAAAAGAAUCAGUAAUCAGUCAGAGGCCAAGGUAAAGGACUCGUUUCUUUGUGUUUUUUAAUUUUAUUUUUUUAAUAGCAACUUAUCACUGUGUGAUAUUUUGUACAUCAUAUUACGCUGUAUUCAAACUGUUUCCUCAAUCAACAGGCCAUAGGAGACCUGCCUUUUUAUUUAGUUUUAUUAUAUAUAUUUUUGAAUUGCAUUCUGGCUUGUAUCUAAUAACAUUUCCCUGUUUCUUUGUUUACGGGUCCCUAUGUACGUUAUUGAGCAAAAAAUAAAGAUUUUGUACAGUGAAAA